CCUACGGGAGGCAGCAGUGGGGAAUAUUGCACAAUGGAGGGAACUCUGAUGCAGCGACGCCGCGUGAGUGAAGAAGUAAUUCGUUAUGUAAAGCUCUAUCAGCAGGGAAGAAGAAAUGACGGUACCUGAGUAAGAAGCCCCGGCUAACUACGUGCCAGCAGCCGCGGUAAUACGUAGGGGGCAAGCGUUAUCCGGAAUUACUGGGUGUAAAGGGAGCGUAGACGGUGAUGUAAGUCUGGAGUGAAAGGCGGGGGCCCAACCCCCGGACUGCUCUGGAAACUAUGUGACUGGAGUGCAGGAGAGGUGAGCGGAAUUCCUAGUGUAGCGGUGAAAUGCGUAGAUAUUAGGAGGAACACCAGUGGCGAAGGCGGCUCACUGGACUGUAACUGACGUUGAGGCUCGAAAGCGUGGGGAGCAAACAGGAUUAGAUACCCCAGUAGUC
This 442-nucleotide ribosomal RNA is filed under the name uncultured bacterium. Its description in RNAcentral is "partial 16S ribosomal RNA". It matches the Rfam family "Bacterial small subunit ribosomal RNA", at positions 338 to 795 of the family's 1533-position model. The record is from RNAcentral.